RNAcentral lists this ribosomal RNA (128 nucleotides) under uncultured Bacillota bacterium. RNAcentral describes it as "uncultured Firmicutes bacterium partial 16S ribosomal RNA". It matches the Rfam family "Bacterial small subunit ribosomal RNA", at positions 335 to 479 of the family's 1533-position model. The record is from RNAcentral. Lineage: Bacteria; Bacillati; Bacillota.
ACUCCUACGGGAGGCAGCAGUGGGGGAUAUUGCGCAAUGGGGGCAACCCUGACGCAGCAACGCCGCGUGAAGGAUGAAGGUUUUCGGAUUGUAAACUUCUUUUAUUAAGGACGAAAAAUGACGGUACU